Long non-coding RNA from Mauremys mutica (yellowpond turtle), 339 nucleotides. RefSeq lists it as uncharacterized. The transcript has 3 exons. The record is from RefSeq and is a predicted model, not a curated record. Lineage: Eukaryota; Metazoa; Chordata; Testudines; Geoemydidae.
CUUUCACACUACUUGCAUGAAAUUGGGGAUCAGAUGAGGGAAAGCUGGCUGAAGACCAGUCCUGACAAAGCAGAGAUGAUGAGGCUUGUGGUCCUCAGGAAAAUGUUGACUGUUUCUUAGAAUAACUGAGUGUGCACAUUUUAAGGCCAAGAACAAGAAGGGCAGAGGUGCACCAUAGAGAGAGACCCAGAUAAUCCUGACAAGUGACCUGCACCCACACACUGAAGAAGUUAAAAAACCCCAAAGAUGCUGCCAAUCUGACCUGGGGGGAAAUUCCUUCCUGACUUCACAUAUGGCAAUUGGUUAGGUCCAGAGCAUGUGAGCAAGGAAGAGCCAGUC